GAUGAACGCUGGCGGCGUGCCUAAUACAUGCAAGUCGAGCGAACGGACGAGAAGCUUGCUUCUCUGAUGUUAGCGGCGGACGGGUGAGUAACACGUGGAUAACCUACCUAUAAGACUGGGAUAACUUCGGGAAACCGGAGCUAAUACCGGAUAAUAUUUUGAACCGCAUGGUUCAAAAGUGAAAGACGGUCUUGCUGUCACUUAUAGAUGGAUCCGCGCUGCAUUAGCUAGUUGGUAAGGUAACGGCUUACCAAGGCAACGAUGCAUAGCCGACCUGAGAGGGUCGUCGGCCACACUGGAACUGAGACACGGUCCCGACUCCUACGGGAGGCAGCAGUAGGGAAUCUUCCGCGAUGGGCGAAAGCCUGACGGAGCAACGCCGCGUGAGUGAUGAAGGUCUUCGGAUCGUAAAACUCUGUUAUUAGGGAAGAACAUAUGUGUAAGUAACUGUGCACAUAUUGACGGUACCUAAUCAGAAAGCCACGGCUAACUACGUG
RNAcentral lists this ribosomal RNA (497 nucleotides) under uncultured bacterium. RNAcentral's name for it is "partial 16S ribosomal RNA". It matches the Rfam family "Bacterial small subunit ribosomal RNA", at positions 28 to 507 of the family's 1533-position model. The record is from RNAcentral.